UGACCAGCUGACGCGAUCGCACGCGUGAAUGCGCCCCUGCCAGGAUGUGCUGACCGUCCAGUUUCCCAGGGAUGUGCUGAGGAGUGUGUUGACCGACCUCCCACAGAAUGACAGGUAUCAGCCCAGACAGCCCCACACGUUUGUUCCAUGUGAAGAGCAGGGCUCAGAAAUGGUCUGGCUGCCAGAGCCAAGGAAAGCUGCAGGACAUCCCGAGGAGCAGGCCCUCCAUCCCACUGUGCUUUCCAGUGCUGGUGGGCAGCUCAGGGCUGCAGCAGCCAAUACCAACCAUGGCAGCCCAGAGCCCCCCAUCAGGCUCCUGCCUGAGCCAUGGUGCUGUGGCUAAGGCAGCCCUGCUGACACAGCAUUGCUCUCUGUUUAUAGCACUACCCUGGACAUACUGAAGAGUGUGCUGACCCUGCUGGAAGCAUCCAAGCGGAUCUGGGAUGAGCUCAGCAGUGUUCUACAGGACCAACAGCUGUGUGAGAUAUUGAGCAUCAGCACAGAGGAGUUGGGCCUCCUUCGCUUGACUGUGAGUUACUGGACAAUGCACCGUGCUCUCCUACAGAGCACUGGUAGCUCAGGCUGGGCUGUGUCUCCCUAGUGCCCUGCCUUGAGCUGCCAGAGCAGCCAGGAGCUGCAGGGUGCAGGAUGUCCUGCUGCCUCUGCCUGCCUCUCACUGCUGUGUUGGUUUCAGGCGAUGCCUCCCACUGAAGAGCUGGUGAAGGAGCUGUGUAAGCCAGCACUGCUCCAGAAGCUUCUGAAUGUGGAAAGCCUGCCAGUGCUCUGGCUGGUGCUCAGACGUCUCGUGCUGCUGUCGGAUAGACCUGAGACGGCAAUUGAAAUCCGGGCCCUGCUUCCAGGCGUCAUGGAGAACCUGCUGUUUGCCAACACAGCCAUUACUGUGAAGGUGCUGAAUAUCUUCAGGAAUGCAAUGCACCAUCUGGGGAAGAGGCACGCCAGUCCGUUUGCUCUGGAGCUGGCUGAGAAGAUCCUGCCUCUUUUUAAUCACGCAUCAUCUGAAGUGCGAGAAGGUUCCAUCCGCCUCUUCAUGGAUGUGAUGGAUGCUGUGCUGUGGUCUCAGAAGGGAAGCAUGAAGAAGACCGUGCGCAGGGCCCUGCUCCCUCUGCUCUUUCACAUGAGUGACGAGACCCUGAGCGUAGCACAGGUACGAAUUUCAGAGCUGAGCAGUGUGCAGGCAGUGGUGUGCUGACAGUUCAGCUGUGAUGUGCAAUUGAGAGCAAGUUCAGCAAGCAUUCAGACACUGGGAUGUGUGUCUGUGUGUGUGGUGCCAUGUCCCUGCAUCUGUUGUUCUGUAGGCAUCUGCGGAUGCCCUUGCAUCUUGUGGAAGGUUCCUGAAGUGGGAUGAGCUCAGCAGCAAGGCCUGGAUCAUGAAUUGAAUAUCAGUGGGGAUCAUGAAGUGUUUGGUGAGGACAAUCUCACAGCCCCCACCUUUUUGCUGGGGGAAAGGGGAUGCUGGAGGAGGGGUUGCAGCAGCAGCUGUGGCUGCUCUGCAAGCCCCAUGCUCUUGUGCUCUUCUUCAGCUGCAGCAGGACAGAAAGGGAGUGGAAGGCCAACUGCAGCAGAGCCUACCAUACCUGGAGGAUUCUCAGGCCUCCUUGCGAUGCGAGGCUGUCAGAUUCAUUGGUGAGCCCAACCCCUGUGUCCCUCUUUGGGCCCUGCCCUGGCAGGAAUGCACAGCCCUGAAGCCCCCAGGUACAGCCUGCCCAUGCCGGUAGCCCCAGUGGGUGCCUUGCUCAGGUCCCCCCUCGGGCACCGUAUGGGGGAGUGGGUGUCUGACGGAGUUCUUUCCCUAGGGCUGAUUGGGAAGCACUCCAGGGAGCAGAGUGAGGAGAUGCUGAAUGAACUCUGCAGUGGUGAGUGAGGGCAGUGCUGUGUGUGUUGGGGCUGGGGGCAGAGCUGGGCAGCAUGCAGCUGUGCUUUGCCCUGCUGCAAGGAAAUGCUGCAGGGACAGAGGAGCAUUCCUGGCAAUCCUGAGCAGUGUCUUCCUGCUGACCCGUCAGUCUCCCGUGCUCCUCCAGGCCAGAAAUAGCAAGGAGUUGGGCUGGCAAGGCCCAGAGGGGAAGCUGGUGGCUCUCUGCAUACUUGGGGUUCAAUCUCUGCUCUGUUUCCUUCUGUUGCAGCCCUACAGCCGUUGGAAGAUGACCCCCAUCUGGCAGUUCGUGUUGUGGCAUCUGAAACCAUCCAGAUACUGCGACAACAAAGGCAGAAGGCGGCACCAGCACGGAGAAGGCUCCCAGCACUUUUCCGCUGGUCCUGCAUAGCCUUCUGAGGGAUAAUUCUUGUUCAUCAACGUUGCUAGGACACCUGUACAGCAACGUUACUGGGACACGCGUUCCUGUCAUGCAAGACAGACCCCCUGAACAACGGCAGGCGCCUUGGAGUACUGACAUCUUGGAAGAAAGAACAGGAACCAAGGUGGUUAGAACUGGGUCUGUAGGUAGUGACUAUUGAAAUUGAAAAGCACGAUAGAAAGCCUUUGCAAGGAAGAUCUGGAGAAGACGUCUGCCCGUGACCACUAGAGAGCAGCACGCAUGCACACAGAUGCAGAACUGAUCAUAAUUACACUGACUAAAUUGUAACUCCUCAUAUGAGUUCUUGGAACUUAAACAAGCAAGCAGAAAAGUUGUGGUUUAUUCUAGCUUUUGCAAAGCCGGAAUGCUGGGCAGCAAAGCUCCUGCUUGCUUAUAGUGCUGUGUGCCUGGACAUAAGUGUCAUGUGGAAAAAGACAAAGAAACACAUUUUCUUUGCCUAUGUCUUGGAGAGCCAGGAAUCCAGAAUUCAAGAUCUUUGCUUUUGAGUUUGCAAUUCAAAACCGGAUUAGAAAGGAUUCUGCAAACUUUCUUUGAUGACAUUAGACUCUUCAUUAACAACAAUACUGUUUCUAAUACUACUAAUAACAGCAACACAACAACAAAAUAAUGGAAGAUGAAGGAAGACAUGGGGACAAGAGUCACUGGAGGAAAUUUCUCCUUUGAACUGAAUUGGUGUUAGUGUCCCCGUGCACAAGAACCAAGGAGAGAGCAAGCAUGUUUUGUACUCUUCAGAAUGCAGUGUGGUUCAUCUUAUUGUCAUCCAAAUGAGACCGGGAUUUCACUGCAUUGUUGGAAAUGGGAAAACAGUGCCAAAGUUGCAAUUUUGAAAUGGAAAAAUUGCAAUUUUAAAAGCCCACAGCAAUAGAGUGGAGAAGAUCACCAGCAAAUCCAGUAGCAUUUGCCCUUGGAGUAAAAGCAACAGCAACAGUCAACCAAAGAAGCGGAUGUUCAUCCAUUCCAUGUACUUUUGUAAGGACGUGAAAGCAAGCAGACUUACCUGAAGGUGGUGUAACGUUAGUGGUAAACAUCACCAAGCUCCCUCCAAAAGUGGACUUGACCUUUUGUCUCUGCGACCAUCUACGUACAGAGGGAGCUACUGGAGAGCUGUGCUCGGAUCCUUCAGUUUUCAUGUCUCUUACCAUCUCUCUUCCAGAAGAUCUUGCGAAGAAAGGCUUUUCCUGUGAGGAUGAAACACAGAUAGGAAAUGUUACAUCUAGUUUUGCUGUGGGAGUUUACCUCUGUGUGUGACACAUUCAUUCUUCUGACAGCUGCUAACACUCAGUUUAUUAAUAAAAAUCAUUCCUUUAUUACUUUGUGCCUUGCA
Molecule: long non-coding RNA, 3657 nt
Filed under: Coturnix japonica (Japanese quail)
Lineage: Eukaryota; Metazoa; Chordata; Aves; Galliformes; Phasianidae
Description: lncRNA (ENSCJPG00005006007.1)
Source: RNAcentral